This 253-nucleotide ribosomal RNA is filed under the name uncultured bacterium. Its description in RNAcentral is "partial 16S ribosomal RNA". It matches the Rfam family "Bacterial small subunit ribosomal RNA", at positions 524 to 776 of the family's 1533-position model. The record is from RNAcentral.
UACAGAGGGUGCGAGCGUUAAUCGGAAUUACUGGGCGUAAAGCGUGCGUAGACGGUUUCGUAAGUCGGGUGUGAAAUCCCCGGGCUCAACCUGGGAAUUGCAUUCGAAACUGCGAGGCUAGGGUACGGAAGAGGGAAGCGGAAUUUCUGGUGUAGUGGUGAAAUGCGUAGAUAUCGGGAGGAACACCAGUGGCGAAGGCGACUACCUGGCCUGUUCUUGACGCUGAGGCGCGAAAGCUAGGGGAGCAAACGGG